This 433-nucleotide ribosomal RNA is filed under the name uncultured bacterium. RNAcentral's name for it is "partial 16S ribosomal RNA". It matches the Rfam family "Bacterial small subunit ribosomal RNA", at positions 29 to 507 of the family's 1533-position model. The record is from RNAcentral.
AACGAACGCUGGCGGCAUGCCUAACACAUGCAAGUCGAACGAGACCUUCGGGUCUAGUGGCGCACGGGUGCGUAACGCGUGGGAACCUGCCCUUAGGUUCGGAAUAACUCCCCGAAAGGGGUGCUAAUACCGGAUAAUGUCUUCGGACCAAAGAUUUAUCGCCUUUGGAUGGGCCCGCGUUGGAUUAGCUAGUUGGUAGGGUAAAAGCCUACCAAGGCGACGAUCCAUAGCUGGUCUGAGAGGAUGAUCAGCCACACUGGGACUGAGACGCGGUCCGGACUCCUACGGGAGGCAGCAGUGGGUAAUAUUGGACAAUCGGCGAAAGCCUGAUCCAGCAAUGCCGCGUGAGUGAUGAAGGCCUUAGGGUUGUACAGCUCUUUUACCCGGGAUGAUAAUGACAGUACCGGGAGAAUAAGCUCCGGCUAACUCCGUG